AAGAGGGUAAGUUAAAUUAAACUAUUAUCGUUCAAAGAUAAAUAUACUUUUUAAGUUCCUCUUG
RNAcentral lists this transfer RNA (64 nucleotides) under Actornithophilus hoplopteri. RNAcentral describes it as "tRNA-Trp". The record is from RNAcentral. Lineage: Eukaryota; Metazoa; Arthropoda; Insecta; Psocodea; Menoponidae.